GACGAACGCUGGCGGCGUGCUUAACACAUGCAAGUCGAACGGAAAGGCCCUGCUUUUGUGGGGUGCUCGAGUGGCGAACGGGUGAGUAACACGUGAGUAACCUGCCCUUGACUUUGGGAUAACUUCAGGAAACUGGGGCUAAUACCGGAUAGGAGCUCCUGCUGCAUGGUGGGGGUUGGAAAGUUUCGGCGGUUGGGGAUGGACUCGCGGCUUAUCAGCUUGUUGGUGGGGUAGUGGUUUACCAAGGCUUUGACGGGUAGCCGGCCUGAGAGGGUGACCGGCCACAUUGGGACUGAGAUACGGCCCAGACUCCUACGGGAGGCAGCAGUGGGGAAUAUUGCACAAUGGGCGGAAGCCUGAUGCAGCAACGCCGCAUGCGGGAUGACGGCCUUCGGGUUGUAAACCGCUUUCGCCUGUGACGAAGCGUGAGUGACGGUAAUGGGUAAAGAAGCACCGGCUAACUACGUG
Molecule: ribosomal RNA, 468 nt
Filed under: uncultured bacterium
Lineage: Bacteria
Description: partial 16S ribosomal RNA
Rfam family: Bacterial small subunit ribosomal RNA
Source: RNAcentral